Chelonoidis abingdonii (Abingdon island giant tortoise) is the source of this 562-nucleotide long non-coding RNA. RefSeq lists it as uncharacterized. The record is from RefSeq and is a predicted model, not a curated record. NCBI's taxonomy places the organism in Eukaryota, Metazoa, Chordata, Testudines, Testudinidae.
UUUACCUGGACAGGAGAGGGCGGAAGCGCCCCGGGGAAGGCUGGGAAAUGUAGUUCCUGACUCUCCGCGGUGCGUUUCCCGUCUCUGGGCAUGCGCUGAUGGGGGGGGAGGGGCGGAGUGUGAUCAGCUGCUCCAUUGUGAUUUGGGAGCCCCGGCGGAGCAGCGAGGUCUGUGCCGGGGAGAUCCGUUAACCCCACCGUGCCCAGUCCGGGCCCUGCUCCCGCUGGAGCCGCUCUGGGGCCGCCCCGGGCUCCGUCCGCCCCGCUGCGGAGCUGCAGCCUCCAGGCUACAGAAAAACAUCCACAUUUCGCUCCAGAUCAACCUGUCCUCCCAUGGCGAAGGAAAUGUUUGCAAUGGAGCUGGCUCAGAAAGAACUGGGCUCGCAGAUGCAGGAAGCUCUAUUGGAGUGAAGACAAAUGGACAGGUACAGUGAAAGGAAACCAAACUACUUUCUACAGCAGCAUGGCUCAAGGGCAUUGGCCAGGUUUCCAGUUUCCAAACCUGAUGUGAUCUUGCAGCUGGAAUAAGGGAACAGUCUGUGGGUCUCAGACCUCUAUGGCUC